RNAcentral lists this ribosomal RNA (448 nucleotides) under uncultured bacterium. RNAcentral's name for it is "partial 16S ribosomal RNA". It matches the Rfam family "Bacterial small subunit ribosomal RNA", at positions 355 to 795 of the family's 1533-position model. The record is from RNAcentral.
UAGGGAAUCUUCCACAAUGGACGCAAGUCUGAUGGAGCAACGCCGCGUGAGUGAAGAAGGCUUUCGGGUCGUAAAACUCUGUUAUUGAAGAAGAACGUGUGUGACAGUAACUGGUCAUGCAGUGACGGUAUUCAAUCAGAAAGUCACGGCUAACUACGUGCCAGCAGCCGCGGUAAUACGUAGGUGGCAAGCGUUGUCCGGAUUUAUUGGGCGUAAAGCGAGUGCAGGCGGUCUUUUAAGUCUGAUGUGAAAGCCUUCGGCUUAACCGAAGAAGGGCAUCGGAAACUGGGAGACUUGAGUGCAGAAGAGGAGAGUGGAACUCCAUGUGUAGCGGUGAAAUGCGUAGAUAUAUGGAAGAACACCAGUGGCGAAGGCGGCUCUCUGGUCUGUAACUGACGCUGAGGCUCGAAAGCGUGGGUAGCAAACAGGAUUAGAUACCCUGGUAGUC